AGAACGAACGUUGGCGGCGUGGAUGAGGCAUGCAAGUCGCACGUGAAAGUCGCAAGACGAGUAAAGUGGCGGACGGGCGAGUAUUACGUAGUCAAGCUACCCUGGAGACGGGGGAUAACCACGGGAAACCGUGGCUAAUACCCGAUGGUCCUGCGAGAACGCAUGUUCAUGCAGGUAAAUGGAGGGGAUCCUACGGGACCUUCUGCUUUGGGGAGGUGAUUACGGCCCAUCAGUUAGUUGGCGGGUAAAGGCCCACAAGACGAUGACGGGUA
Molecule: ribosomal RNA, 272 nt
Filed under: uncultured bacterium
Lineage: Bacteria
Description: partial small subunit ribosomal RNA
Rfam family: Bacterial small subunit ribosomal RNA
Source: RNAcentral